RNAcentral lists this ribosomal RNA (281 nucleotides) under Aspergillus terreus. RNAcentral's name for it is "partial 28S ribosomal RNA". It matches the Rfam family "Eukaryotic large subunit ribosomal RNA", at positions 351 to 650 of the family's 3401-position model. Lineage: Eukaryota; Fungi; Ascomycota; Eurotiomycetes; Eurotiales; Aspergillaceae. The record is from RNAcentral.
GAGUGAUCGAAAGAUGAAAAGCACUUUGAAAAGAGAGUUAAACAGCACGUGAAAUUGUUGAAAGGGAAGCGCUUGCAACCAGACUCGCUCGCGGGGUUCAGCCGGGCUUCGGCCCGGUGUACUUCCCCGCGGGCGGGCCAGCGUCGGUUUGGGCGGCCGGUCAAAGGCCUCCGGAAUGUAGCGCCCUUCGGGGCGCCUUAUAGCCGGGGGUGCAAUGCGGCCAGCCUGGACCGAGGAACGCGCUUCGGCACGGACGCUGGCAUAAUGGUUGUAAACGACCC